UACGAAGGGGGCUAGCGUUGCUCGGAAUUACUGGGCGUAAAGCGCACGUAGGCGGCUCUUUAAGUCGGGGGUGAAAUCCUGGAGCUCAACUCCAGAACUGCCUUUGAUACUGGCGAUCUUGAGUCCGGGAGAGGUGAGUGGAACUGCGAGUGUAGAGGUGAAAUUCGUAGAUAUUCGCAAGAACACCAGUGGCGAAGGCGGCUCACUGGCCCGGUACUGACGCUGAGGUGCGAAAGCGUGGGGAGCAAACAGG
RNAcentral lists this ribosomal RNA (253 nucleotides) under uncultured bacterium. RNAcentral's name for it is "partial 16S ribosomal RNA". It matches the Rfam family "Bacterial small subunit ribosomal RNA", at positions 524 to 776 of the family's 1533-position model. The record is from RNAcentral.